Molecule: ribosomal RNA, 253 nt
Filed under: uncultured bacterium
Lineage: Bacteria
Description: partial 16S ribosomal RNA
Rfam family: Bacterial small subunit ribosomal RNA
Source: RNAcentral
UACGUAGGGACCGAGCGUUGUCCGGAAUCAUUGGGCGUAAAGAGCGUGUAGGCGGCUUGCUAAGUCUUGCGUGAAAUCUCGGGGCUCAACCCCGAGCGGUCGUGGGAAACUGGCAGGCUAGAGUGCGGGAGAGGAGAAUGGAAUUCCUGGUGUAGCGGUGAAAUGCGUAGAGAUCGGGAAGAACAUCGGUGGCGAAAGCGGCGUUCUGGACUGCAACUGACACUGAGGAACGAAAGCCAGGGGAGCAAACGGG